UUCAGAAUGAAAAGCAAAAAAGCUUCAGAAUAUUGAAGAAUGAGGAAAAAAGGAGCCCCUACACUCCACAAUGGUUGAUAAAACAAAUGCAGGAAAAAAGGGGGAGCCACUCUUUAAAAUGGUUGCUAAAACAAAUCCAGGU
Long non-coding RNA from Eurytemora carolleeae, 142 nucleotides. RefSeq lists it as uncharacterized. Lineage: Eukaryota; Metazoa; Arthropoda; Copepoda; Calanoida; Temoridae. The transcript is spliced from 3 exons. The record is from RefSeq and is a predicted model, not a curated record.